AGGUAGUCCGCGUUGGCAGUGUGGUUAGCUGGUUGUUUAAAUUGCUACAACAGCCAGUAACGACACUGCCUCCGCGUGCUACCU
RNAcentral lists this microRNA precursor (84 nucleotides) under Spodoptera frugiperda (fall armyworm). RNAcentral describes it as "microRNA sfr-mir-34 precursor". Its record names the gene sfr-mir-34. The stretch from base 7 to 78 matches the Rfam family "mir-34 microRNA precursor family". Rfam says of the family: Human mir-34a was discovered computationally and later experimentally verified. The mature sequence is excised from the 5' arm of the hairpin. The record is from miRBase by way of RNAcentral. Lineage: Eukaryota; Metazoa; Arthropoda; Insecta; Lepidoptera; Noctuidae.